GGGUUGUGAGGUUAAGCGACUAAGCGUACACGGUGGAUGCCCUGGCAGUCAGAGGCGAUGAAGGGCGUGCUAAUCUGCGAUAAGCGCCGGUAAGGUGAUAUGAACCGUUAUAACCGGCGAUACCCGAAUGGGGAAACCCAGUGUGACUCGUCACACUAUCAUUAACUGAAUCCAUAGGUUAAUGAGGCGAACCGGGGGAACUGAAACAUCUAAGUACCCCGAGGAAAAGAAAUCAACCGAGAUUCCCCCAGUAGCGGCGAGC
This 262-nucleotide ribosomal RNA is filed under the name Salmonella enterica. RNAcentral describes it as "partial 23S ribosomal RNA". It matches the Rfam family "Bacterial large subunit ribosomal RNA", at positions 1 to 254 of the family's 2925-position model. The record is from RNAcentral. Lineage: Bacteria; Pseudomonadati; Pseudomonadota; Gammaproteobacteria; Enterobacterales; Enterobacteriaceae.